CUCUUUUAUUUUUUCUUUCUUUCUCUCUAUUCCACCGACAGCGGACCCCGCCGCCUCCUUCCACCUCCCGAUCGGUCUCCUGUUCGUGGACGACAGCACCGCCACUGCCGCACCAAACCCCGCGUGAUUCACGCGACCCCUUGCUCAUCUUCCAAUCUGAGGCCGCCGUGUGGUUCCUCUCGAAUCCCUCGAUCAGUCCUCACAGGCGCCACUUCGUUUUCCCCUAGGAAUCGAGCGUAAGGACCUCGCCAAGCUCCGCCGACUCCGGCGACUCUGACGAACGAUUUCGGCCACUCUAGUAAGCCCGGCCCCUCUCCGAGCACUCCAUAGUCUGCGAGGAAACCUCAUGCACCCCCUCCGCUUUGAUUUUGCCCAGGACCGCACCACAUCGAGCUCCUCAACAAAUCCUGAUCUCACCGGAGUAUUGCCCUUGCCGGAGCUUCCUCGAACGAUUCCGUCGCCUCUGAACACGGGAUAUCGAGCUCCCGAUCACACCCAAAAUCGCCAGCACCACCGAGCGACGGCGGGCCAGCAGCGGACGCUCCCAUCUCCGUUGAAGCUACCAUCGUCUCCGUCAUCGCAAGCCGCAUCCGCCCUUCACCUCAUCUUCACCGGAGAGCCACCGAAGGGCGCCACCACCCACGCCCGAAGCCGUCGUCGUUUUUCCCCUGCCUCAGUGAGCACGCACGCACAGCUACAUCUCAGCCAAUCUGCAUGUGACACAUGGCGCUAUGCUAUAGUAGCCGCAGUUCAAAAUCAUGUUUUUAGACAGAUUUUCACCAAUUUUUCGUUUAGCUAUAUCUCUUGGUCUGUAUAUACAAAUUCAUUGAUUCUUUCUCCUGUGUACUCGUAGCGACGAGGAGAAUACAGUAGAACCAAAAUUUCACAUGUUUGAACUGCUCAAAUUUGAAUUUAUUCAAAUUCGAAUUCAUCC
Triticum aestivum (bread wheat) is the source of this 934-nucleotide long non-coding RNA. RefSeq lists it as uncharacterized. The transcript has 2 exons. NCBI's taxonomy places the organism in Eukaryota, Viridiplantae, Streptophyta, Magnoliopsida, Poales, Poaceae. The record is from RefSeq and is a predicted model, not a curated record.